RNAcentral lists this transfer RNA (69 nucleotides) under Marmota monax (woodchuck). RNAcentral describes it as "tRNA.Ala". Lineage: Eukaryota; Metazoa; Chordata; Mammalia; Rodentia; Sciuridae. The record is from RNAcentral.
GGGGUUGUAGCUCAGUGGUAGAGCACCUGCCUAGCCUGCAUGAGGCACUAUGUUUGAUCCUCAGCACCA